UACAGAGGGGGCAAGCGUUGUUCGGAAUUACUGGGCGUCAAGGGCGCGUAGGCGGCCUGUUAAGUCGAACGUGAAAUCCCCGGGCUCAACCCGGGAACUGCGUCCGAUACUGGCAGGCUUGAAUUCGGGAGAGGGAUGCGGAAUUCCAGGUGUAGCGGUGAAAUGCGUAGAUAUCUGGAGGAACACCGGUGGCGAAGGCGGCAUCCUGGACCGAGAUUGACGCUGAGGCGCGAAAGCCAGGGGAGCAAACGGG
This 253-nucleotide ribosomal RNA is filed under the name uncultured bacterium. RNAcentral's name for it is "partial 16S ribosomal RNA". It matches the Rfam family "Bacterial small subunit ribosomal RNA", at positions 524 to 776 of the family's 1533-position model. The record is from RNAcentral.